AACGAACGCUGGCGGCAGGCCUAACACAUGCAAGUCGAGCGCGCCCUUCGGGGUGAGCGGCGGACGGGUGAGUAACGCGUGGGAACGUGCCCUUCUCUGCGGAAUAGCCUCGGGAAACUGAGAGUAAUACCGCAUACGCCCUUUGGGGGAAAGAUUUAUCGGAGAAGGAUCGGCCCGCGUUGGAUUAGGUAGUUGGUGGGGUAAUGGCCCACCAAGCCGACGAUCCAUAGCUGGUUUGAGAGGAUGAUCAGCCACACUGGGACUGAGACACGGCCCAGACUCCUACGGGAAGCAGCAGUGGGGAAUCUUAGACAAUGGGGGCAACCCUGAUCUAGCCAUGCCGCGUGAGUGAUGAAGGCCUUAGGGUUGUAAAGCUCUUUCAGCUGGGAAGAUAAUGACGGUACCAGCAGAAGAAGCCCCGGCUAACUCCGUG
This 433-nucleotide ribosomal RNA is filed under the name uncultured bacterium. RNAcentral's name for it is "partial 16S ribosomal RNA". It matches the Rfam family "Bacterial small subunit ribosomal RNA", at positions 29 to 507 of the family's 1533-position model. The record is from RNAcentral.